Molecule: ribosomal RNA, 425 nt
Filed under: uncultured bacterium
Lineage: Bacteria
Description: partial 16S ribosomal RNA
Rfam family: Bacterial small subunit ribosomal RNA
Source: RNAcentral
GUGGGGAAUCUUGCGCAAUGGGCGAAAGCCUGACGCAGCCAUGCCGCGUGAAUGAUGAAGGUCUUAGGAUUGUAAAAUUCUUUCACCGGGGACGAUAAUGACGGUACCCGGAGAAGAAGCCCCGGCUAACUUCGUGCCAGCAGCCGCGGUAAUACGAAGGGGGCUAGCGUUGCUCGGAAUUACUGGGCGUAAAGGGCGCGUAGGCGGACAGUUUAGUCAGAGGUGAAAGCCCAGGGCUCAACCUUGGAAUUGCCUGUGAUACUGGCUGUCAUGAGUACGGGAGAGGUGAGUGGAACUCCGAGUGUAGAGGUGAAAUUCGUAGAUAUUCGGAAGAACACCAGUGGCGAAGGCGACUCACUGGCCCGUUACUGACGCUGAGGCGCGAAAGCGUGGGGAGCAAACAGGAUUAGAAACCCCGGUAGUCC